Molecule: long non-coding RNA, 542 nt
Filed under: Ursus maritimus (polar bear)
Lineage: Eukaryota; Metazoa; Chordata; Mammalia; Carnivora; Ursidae
Description: lncRNA (ENSUMAG00000010310.1)
Source: RNAcentral
UUCCUGGAGUCUCAUCAGCAGGCCAGGUGUCGGGUCCCCCUGCGCUGGGCAGCCUGCCGAGCUCUUGCGUUUUCAGAAGUUUAUGCAAGACUUAGUUUCCAGGGACCGCUGGUUCUAGGAGAGAUGGUUCGGCCCCGGAUGACAGUCCUGUCUUCUUUGGAAGAAGGUAGCUGUUAGGAAGCACGAAGGGGAGGCGCCCCGUGAACAGAAAGGCGACCUGAAAGAUACCCCUGUGACCUGAACCCUUCCACUAGCGCCUCAGAGCAGAGGCGGAAGAGUCCCAGAGAGGAGAAGACCCCAGCUUUGCAUGGCCGAGCAGUUAUUGAUGCUUCUGCCCAGAGUGAACAAGAUUUGGGGGAUACCGCCUCCUCCAGAAGUUGUCAGAGACUGCGUGUUAUUGGAAAGUUGGACCUGCUUUCAGGAGACCUGAGCCAGGCUGAGACGGGAGGUGCUCUCUCUCUGUCUCUCUCUCUGUCUCUCUCAGUUGUCUUUUCUAGCUAAUGUGUAGAGAGCUUCAGACGAGAGAAUCUGGGAUCUGGGAG